AAUGACGAUUUAGUGACUGAGCGGCGGACGGGUGAGUAACGCGUGAGGAACCUGCCUUGAAGAGGGGGACAACAGUUGGAAACGGCUGCUAAUACCGCAUGAGCGCACAGAGCUGCAUGGCUCGGUGUGAAAAACUCCGGUGGUAUGGGAUGGGCCCGCGUCUGAUUAGCUAGUUGGUGUGGUAACGGCAUACCAAGGCAACGAUCAGUAGCCGGGCUGAGAGGCUCUUCGGCCACAUUGGGACUGAGACACGGACCAGACUCC
Molecule: ribosomal RNA, 264 nt
Filed under: uncultured bacterium
Lineage: Bacteria
Description: partial 16S ribosomal RNA
Rfam family: Bacterial small subunit ribosomal RNA
Source: RNAcentral